RNAcentral lists this ribosomal RNA (478 nucleotides) under uncultured Planctomycetales bacterium. Its description in RNAcentral is "bacterial SSU rRNA". It matches the Rfam family "Bacterial small subunit ribosomal RNA", at positions 365 to 833 of the family's 1533-position model. Lineage: Bacteria; Pseudomonadati; Planctomycetota; Planctomycetia; Planctomycetales. The record is from RNAcentral.
UUCGCAAUGCCCGAAAGGGUGACGAAGCGACGCCGCGUGUGGGAAGAAGGCCUUCGGGUUGUAAACCACUGUCAGAGGUUAGGAAGUGUAAGGGUGUUAAGAGCAUCCUUACUUGACUUAAGCCUCAGAGGAAGCCACGGCUAACUCUGUGCCAGCAGCCGCGGUAAUACAGAGGUGGCAAGCGUUGUUCGGAAUUAUUGGGCGUAAAGAGCACGUAGGCGGCUCUGCAAGUCAGCUGUGAAAGCCUUCUGCUUAACGGAAGAACAGCAGUUGAUACUACAGGGCUUGAGUGCGGGAGGGGAGAGUGGAACUUCUGGUGGAGCGGUGAAAUGCGUAGAUAUCAGAAGGAACGCCGGCGGCGAAAGCGGCUCUCUGGCCCAUAACUGACGCUGAGUGUGCGAAAGCUAGGGGAGCAAACGGGAUUAGAUACCCCGGUAGUCCUAGCCGUAAACGAUGGGCACUAAGUAGAGGGGUUUUA